This is a long non-coding RNA of Myotis brandtii (Brandt's bat), 1064 nucleotides long. RefSeq lists it as uncharacterized. The record is from RefSeq and is a predicted model, not a curated record. Lineage: Eukaryota; Metazoa; Chordata; Mammalia; Chiroptera; Vespertilionidae. The transcript is spliced from 2 exons.
AGACUACCUCACAUCCGGUGACUCAUUAGAAGGAGUGAUUGAGCAUAUAUUUGUGUUAGAGUAGGUAGAUAGAUAUGAGCAGAGGAGAUAAAGGACAAAUUGACCAAAAAACAAAACAAAACCCAUGCUCAAGUAAACAAGGGAAAGGGAGAAUAGAAAACUAAAACAGCCAUCAAAAUUAGACGAAGACAGGGAAAAGAAAUGCAGUAAAAAUGACUCCUAGCACCAAAAGGACAUCUGCAGACACACGACAUUCUAAGAAGCCCACCAGUUAGGCAGACCCACGAAAUUCUAGGGAGCCUACCAGCUAAAGGACGAAUGGUGCAGGGAGAUUAGCAUAAAGCGUGGGAGGGGCAAGAAUAAAACAAAGGCCAGGAUUUAGACCCCCGGAUGUACUUGAAUACAGCUUUGAUGCUCUCUGCAAUUUCCCCGUCUCUCGCGUUGAAAUCCUUCCUCCCGGAGACGAGAACCUGGUCUUGCUGAUCCCCAGCGCCGCUGACAGUUCUAACCGCGAGCCCGGAGCCGGUUCAAGAAAGCCCCAAAUGGUUACAACUAGUGCACCUGUAAAUGAUGCUUCGCCAGGGUUUUCAACCCGCCCCGCCCCAUACACAUACGCAGAGACAACUCAACCCCUUGAUCAAGCUGGCCAAAGAUUCUGAUUCUGAGAAACCUACCCUCUGCCCUGACAGACAGCAAGAGAAUGAGACCCAAUCCCCAACUUCGCCCGUUUGUCAGCAGGAAGUAGCCAGAUGAUUGUCUACGUCCAUGAUCUCCCAAUGAAUUGGGUCUCAUAACUCUUGAGGGGGGAAAUGUUAGAGUAGGUAGUUAGAUAGAUAUGAGCAGGGCAGAGAAAGGACAAAAGGACCAAAAAACCGUGCUUAGGUAAACAAGGGAAAGGAUGAAUAGAAAACUAAAACAGCCAUCAAAGGCUGAAUGGUGCAGGAGAUUAGUACAAAGCAUGGGAGGGGCAAGAAUAAGUCAAAAGCCAGGACUUAGACCCAAUGGGGCACUCCAGCUUUGCUUGAUGUACUUUCUCUUGAAUAAAGCUUUGCUGCUUGCUGCAA